RNAcentral lists this ribosomal RNA (486 nucleotides) under uncultured bacterium. RNAcentral describes it as "partial 16S ribosomal RNA". It matches the Rfam family "Bacterial small subunit ribosomal RNA", at positions 30 to 507 of the family's 1533-position model. The record is from RNAcentral.
AUUGAACGCUGGCGGCAUGCCUUACACAUGCAAGUCGAACGGCAGCACGGGUGCUUGCACCUGGUGGCGAGUGGCGAACGGGUGAGUAAUACAUCGGAACAUGUCCUGUAGUGGGGGAUAGCCCGGCGAAAGCCGGAUUAAUACCGCAUACGAUCUACGGAUGAAAGCGGGGGACCUUCGGGCCUCGCGCUAUAGGGUUGGCCGAUGGCUGAUUAGCUAGUUGGUGGGGUAAAGGCCUACCAAGGCGACGAUCAGUAGCUGGUCUGAGAGGACGACCAGCCACACUGGGACUGAGACACGGCCCAGACUCCUACGGGAGGCAGCAGUGGGGAAUUUUGGACAAUGGGCGAAAGCCUGAUCCAGCAAUGCCGCGUGUGUGAAGAAGGCCUUCGGGUUGUAAAACCCUUUUUUCCGGGAAGAAAACCUUGGCCCUAAUAAGGUCGGGGGAUGACGGUACCGGAAGAAUAAGCCCCGGCUAACUACGUG